AGCAGUUGAUAAUGAAGAAAUUAGCUUGAUGAAACAAAACAACUUUACAUCAGUGGGAUUUGGGUCUGAAUUUGAUGUGGUAGCUGUUCCUAAUUGGUUGAUUACUUAUCAGAAGGAAAAAUGUUCAGGCAAAAUCUUCUUAAGAGAUGCAACGCAACAACCACUUCUCUCUCUCUCCCUCCCUCUCUCUAUAGUGGAAAGUGAUGAUUUCAAUAAUUGUGUAAAUUGGCAUUGUGUUGCCUUUUCAAUCCCAUUGAGAUGUAGCAUUUUUAUUUACUGGCAAUGUUAGAAUUUAGAUACAUCUUAGACAUCAAGAAUGAUUAAUGUAAUGUAUGAACUAUAUUUGAAUGA
Quercus lobata is the source of this 351-nucleotide long non-coding RNA. RefSeq lists it as uncharacterized. Lineage: Eukaryota; Viridiplantae; Streptophyta; Magnoliopsida; Fagales; Fagaceae. The record is from RefSeq and is a predicted model, not a curated record. The transcript has 2 exons.